This 468-nucleotide ribosomal RNA is filed under the name uncultured bacterium. RNAcentral's name for it is "bacterial SSU rRNA". It matches the Rfam family "Bacterial small subunit ribosomal RNA", at positions 355 to 825 of the family's 1533-position model. The record is from RNAcentral.
UCGGGAAUUUUGGGCAAUGGGCGCAAGCCUGAUCCAGCCAUGCCGCGUGCAGGAUGACGGUCCUAUGGAUUGUAAACUGCUUUUUGUACAGGAAGAAACAGUUCUACGUGUAGAACCUUGACGGUACUGUAAGAAUAAGGAUCGGCUAACUCCGUGCCAGCAGCCGCGGUAAUACGGAGGAUCCAAGCGUUAUCCGGAAUCAUUGGGUUUAAAGGGUCCGUAGGCGGUUAGAUAAGUCAGUGGUGAAAGCCCAUCGCUCAACGGUGGAACGGCCAUUGAUACUGUCUGACUUGAAUUAUUAGGAAGUAACUAGAAUAUGUAGUGUAGCGGUGAAAUGCUUAGAGAUGACAUGGAAUACCAAUUGCGAAGGCAGGUUACUACUAAUGGAUUGACGCUGAUGGACGAAAGCGUGGGUAGCGAACAGGAUUAGAUACCCCCGUAGUCCCUGAGCGGGCUGGCAAGGCGCAU